Molecule: long non-coding RNA, 292 nt
Organism: Dendrobium catenatum
Lineage: Eukaryota; Viridiplantae; Streptophyta; Magnoliopsida; Asparagales; Orchidaceae
Exons: 3
Source: RefSeq, a predicted model, not a curated record
CAACCAGUUCGUUGAUCUCUUACGAACAGAAAUACAUAAGAGGAGGAGGAGAGAUCGGGAUCAGGGUUAAAGUCUCUAGCUUUUGUAUCCGUGUCGAUGGGGAGGGAGAUGGACGCAGAGGAAGAAGGUACUAUGAGCUCUCACCAGAGCAAGCCGGGCGUCCUCAUCGUUGGCUGCCCUAACAUCGGCAAGAGAACACUCCUCUCUAGGUUGCUUUCAAUAGAUAUUCCAGAGAUACCUAAUUUAUCUUCUGGAAUACUUUGCCAGGGGUGGAAUCUUGAGACUAUUUAUU